This 502-nucleotide ribosomal RNA is filed under the name Minutiella simplex. RNAcentral describes it as "partial 28S large subunit ribosomal RNA". It matches the Rfam family "Eukaryotic large subunit ribosomal RNA", at positions 99 to 607 of the family's 3401-position model. The record is from RNAcentral. Lineage: Eukaryota; Fungi; Ascomycota; Eurotiomycetes; Phaeomoniellales; Phaeomoniellaceae.
CGGCAACAGCUCAAAUUUGAAAUCUGGCUCUUUCAGGGUCCGAGUUGUAAUUUGUAGAGGAUGUUUCGGGCAAGGCUUCGGUUUAAAUCCCUUGGAACAGGGUGUCACAGAGGGUGAGAGUCCCGUCUUGAACCGUCUGCCGCGUCCAUGUGAAGCUCCUUCGACGAGUCGAGUUGUUUGGGAAUGCAGCUCAAAAUGGGAGGUAUAUUUCUUCUAAAGCUAAAUAUUGGCCAGAGACCGAUAGCGCACAAGUAGAGUGAUCGAAAGAUGAAAAGCACUUUGAAAAGAGAGUUAAACAGUAUGUGAAAUUGUUGAAAGGGAAGCGCUUGUAACCAGACUUGAGUUGGGCGGUUCUACCGCGGUUCGCCGUGGCCUAUUCCGUCCGAUCCAGGCCAGCAUCGGUUCGGGUGGUCAGUUAAAGACCUCGGGAAUGUAUCUACCCUUCGGGGUCGACUUAUAGCCCGGGGUGCAAUGUGACCUACCUGGACCGAGGAACGCGCAU